CCUGGCUCAGGAUGAACGCUAGCGGCAGGCUUAACACAUGCAAGUCGAGGGGUAUAGUUCUUCGGAACUAGAGACCGGCGCACGGGUGCGUAACGCGUAUGCAAUCUACCUUUUACAGAGGGAUAGCCCAGAGAAAUUUGGAUUAAUACCUCAUAGUAUAUAGCCCUGGCAUCAGGAUUAUAUUAAAGUCACAACGGUAAAAGAUGAGCAUGCGUCCCAUUAGCUAGUUGGUAAGGUAACGGCUUACCAAGGCUACGAUGGGUAGGGGUCCUGAGAGGGAGAUCCCCCACACUGGUACUGAGACACGGACCAGACUCCUACGGGAGGCAGCAGUGAGGAAUAUUGGACAAUGGGCGCAAGCCUGAUCCAGCCAUGCCGCGUGCAGGAUGACGGUCCUAUGGAUUGUAAACUGCUUUUAUACGAGAAGAAACACUCCUUCGUGAAGGAGCUUGACGGUAUCGUAAGAAUAAGGAUCGGCUAACUCCGUGCCAGCAGCCGCGGUAAUACGGAGGAUCCAAGCGUUAUCCGGAAUCAUUGGGUUUAAAGGGUCCGUAGGCGGUUUAAUAAGUCAGUGGUGAAAGCCCAUCGCUCAACGGUGGAACGGCCAUUGAUACUGUUAGACUUGAAUUAUUAGGAAGUAACUAGAAUAUGUAGUGUAGCGGUGAAAUGCUUAGAGAUUACAUGGAAUACCAAUUGCGAAGGCAGGUUACUACUAAUUGAUUGACGCUGAUGGACGAAAGCGUGGGUAGCGAACAGGAUUAGAUACCCUGGUAGUCCACGCCGUAAACGANGGAUACUAGCUGUUNGAAGCAAUUNCAGUGGCUAAGCGAA
Molecule: ribosomal RNA, 831 nt
Filed under: Flavobacterium sp. AKB-2008-RU9
Lineage: Bacteria; Pseudomonadati; Bacteroidota; Flavobacteriia; Flavobacteriales; Flavobacteriaceae
Description: bacterial SSU rRNA
Rfam family: Bacterial small subunit ribosomal RNA
Source: RNAcentral